Molecule: ribosomal RNA, 387 nt
Filed under: Olmecazomus cruzlopezi
Lineage: Eukaryota; Metazoa; Arthropoda; Arachnida; Schizomida; Hubbardiidae
Description: partial small subunit ribosomal RNA
Source: RNAcentral
AUAAAGUGAAUUAAUAGAGGAUGAUUAAAUUUUACAUGAAGUUCAAAUGUAAAGUUAAAAAAUGUUGGCGGUGUUUUAUUAAAUUCUGAGAAUCUUGCAUAGUUAAAAUGAUAUUACACAAAGAAUCUUACCUUAUUUAAAGUUAAAUGAUAUUUUGGUUUAUUUAUUGCUGUUUAAUUUAUUUGUUAAUAUAAAGGUAAGAAUAAAUAGAGUUAUAGUUUAUUAAGUGUAAGAAAUUCAAGUCAUGAUGUAGUAAUAAUAAGGUUUGUGUGAGUUGCAUUUUAUUAGAGAUAAAAGAAAUAUAAGUAAAUUGAAAUAUUUAUAAAAAUUGGGAUUAGGAUGUAAAGGAAAAGUAAUUAGUUUUUUUGAUAAAUUAUAUAAACAUGU